This 76-nucleotide transfer RNA is filed under the name Ilumatobacteraceae bacterium. Its description in RNAcentral is "tRNA-Asn". It matches the Rfam family "tRNA". From Rfam's summary of the family: Transfer RNA (tRNA) molecules are approximately 80 nucleotides in length. Their secondary structure includes four short double-helical elements and three loops (D, anti-codon, and T loops). Further hydrogen bonds mediate the characteristic L-shaped molecular structure. tRNAs have two regions of fundamental functional importance: the anti-codon, which is responsible for specific mRNA codon recognition, and the 3' end, to which the tRNAs corresponding amino acid is attached (by aminoacyl-tRNA synthetases). tRNAs cope with the degeneracy of the genetic code in two manners: having more than one tRNA (with a specific anti-codon) for a particular amino acid; and 'wobble' base-pairing, i.e. permitting non-standard base-pairing at the 3rd anti-codon position. RNAcentral also lists the same sequence under 1 other name. The record is from RNAcentral. Lineage: Bacteria; Bacillati; Actinomycetota; Acidimicrobiia; Acidimicrobiales; Ilumatobacteraceae.
UCGGGGGUAGCUCAGUUGGCAGAGCAACGGACUGUUAAUCCGUCGGUCGUGGGUUCGAGCCCCACCCCCCGAGCAA